This is a long non-coding RNA of Micropterus salmoides (largemouth bass), 644 nucleotides long. RefSeq lists it as uncharacterized. The record is from RefSeq and is a predicted model, not a curated record. Lineage: Eukaryota; Metazoa; Chordata; Actinopteri; Centrarchiformes; Centrarchidae. The transcript has 5 exons.
UUAAACUGGUUUGAACUGGUGGCAUCUUUUAUAGCAUCCACUUUUUCUUGGAUUUCUUUCUUGAAGGCUGUGUGCAGAAAGUUUAUCUCCAAGAAAAACAAUUUCCUCAACUCCAAACUGGCAUUUGCUCUUGUUUAGCUUUAGUCCAUACCUACUUAUCCGCUCCAGCACUUUUAUCAGCCUCACAUUGUGCUCCUGGAGUGUGGAGCCCCACACAACAACGUCAUCAACAUACAGCCGAACUCCAUCUAGCUGUGUUGAUGCAAAACUCUUCACCAGCCCCAAAUCCUGCCAGGCUUCAUCACCCAGAAGUGAAUCAAGCUCCUCAGCAACAACAGAGAAGAACAGCAUCCAAGGUCUGGUGCCAUCCGACGGCAACAACAGUGGAACCGGAUGUGAAUGGAAGCUGCCCAGAAGCGCGAGUGAAGAUAAAUCAAAUAUACACUGAGGACAGCACAUGAUGAUCAGAGCAGAGAGCAGGCGGACGGCCAGAGAGAUGGUCUACCUGGACAUGGAUCACCUGUUGGUGCUGCUGCUGCUGUGGAGCUCAGGACUCCAGGCUGAAGGAAAUCACACCUCAACAGAGCCUGAUGAUUUCAGGUUGGUGGGAGGAGCCAGUCGCUGUGCAGGAACAGUGGCGGUGA